This 214-nucleotide long non-coding RNA is filed under the name Elaeis guineensis (African oil palm). RNAcentral's name for it is "long non-coding RNA (EGUI_LNC059793)". Lineage: Eukaryota; Viridiplantae; Streptophyta; Magnoliopsida; Arecales; Arecaceae. The record is from RNAcentral.
GACCGGUAUCACCCCACCUUGCUACUCCAAAAUUCGCGGGCAGAAUAGCUUCACCAACAGCCCCCGUUAUUAAACCCCUGUUGUUGAAGGAAUUCUUCCUCGGGCCCCCUUUAAAACGACAGAGAUUCUCACUGGCCACCAUUCUCCUCCUCACCUUCCUCCAAGCCCUAAAAAUCCCCUCAAGAACAGCCUCCAGAGUAGAGGAUAUGGUGUG